GACGAACGCUGGCGGCGUGCUUAACACAUGCAAGUCGAACGGAAAGGCCCUGCUUUUGUGGGGUGCUCGAGUGGCGAACGGGUGAGUAACACGUGAGUAACCUGCCCUUGACUUUGGGAUAACUUCAGGAAACUGGGGCUAAUACCGGAUAGGAGCUCCUGCUGCAUGGUGGGGGUUGGAAAGUUUCGGCGGUUGGGGAUGGACUCGCGGCUUAUCAGCUUGUUGGUGGGGUAGUGGCUUACCAAGGCUUUGACGGGUAGCCGGCCUGAGAGGGUGACCGGCCACAUUGGGCCUGAGAUACGGCCCAGACUCCUACGGGAGGCAGCAGUGGGGAAUAUUGCACAAUGGGCGGACGCCUGAUGCAGCAACGCCGCGUGCGUGAUGACGGCCUUCGGGUUGUAAACCGCUUUCGCCUGUGACGAAGCGUGAGUGACGGUAAUGGAUAAAGAAGCACCGGCUAACUACGUG
RNAcentral lists this ribosomal RNA (468 nucleotides) under uncultured bacterium. RNAcentral describes it as "partial 16S ribosomal RNA". It matches the Rfam family "Bacterial small subunit ribosomal RNA", at positions 28 to 507 of the family's 1533-position model. The record is from RNAcentral.